AAACUUUUAACAACGGAUCUCUUGGUUCUGGCAUCGAUGAAGAACGCAGCGAAAUGCGAUAAGUAAUGUGAAUUGCAGAAUUCAGUGAAUCAUCGAAUCUUUGAACGCACAUUGCGCCCGCCAGCAUUCUGGCGGGCAUGCCUGUUCGAGCGUC
This 154-nucleotide ribosomal RNA is filed under the name Colletotrichum trifolii. RNAcentral describes it as "5.8S ribosomal RNA". It matches the Rfam family "5.8S ribosomal RNA". Rfam says of the family: 5.8S ribosomal RNA (5.8S rRNA) is a component of the large subunit of the eukaryotic ribosome. It is transcribed by RNA polymerase I as part of the 45S precursor that also contains 18S and 28S rRNA. Functionally, it is thought that 5.8S rRNA may be involved in ribosome translocation. Lineage: Eukaryota; Fungi; Ascomycota; Sordariomycetes; Glomerellales; Glomerellaceae. RNAcentral also lists the same sequence under 15 other names. The record is from RNAcentral.